RNAcentral lists this long non-coding RNA (683 nucleotides) under Capsicum annuum. Its description in RNAcentral is "long non-coding RNA (CANN_LNC013651)". The record is from RNAcentral. Lineage: Eukaryota; Viridiplantae; Streptophyta; Magnoliopsida; Solanales; Solanaceae.
CCAUAUCGUCUAGCACUGGUAUUUAUGGAAUCAAGAAAAUUCUGAAAAUGGUUUUUAUCUGAGAUAUUCCAUUCUGACAGAUUAACAAACAAUGGUCCUGUGUGCAUGAGAUCUACCAACACUCAUGAGGGAGUAUCUCCCUCCUUCAAACAACUGCACCUGCAAGUCUGGAGAGGUUGGCAACUUCUGCCAAAUUGAAUAUGAUCACAUGAAUCUGAGUAUGAAUUAAAUCUGAGCAAUACAAACAAUCGCAUAUAAACAAGUAACUGAAUCAUAAUAUGAAACAUAGAACUUUCCAAUAUUCUGAGCUAUUUAAAUAAGCAUAUGUAUAUCUAAUUUCUUUCUUAAAUGAAUAGCUAACAGUCUGAACUCAAGGAAAUUAGGUGCUUACAUAUACCUUACAAUCAUACAAAGCUUAAAUUCUUCACUUGGGCCAAUAUAUUGAACUUUUUGUCAAUAUUCUCUUUUAGGCCCUCCCCAUUAGGUUGUAAAUCUUAAGGUGUGAAGGUUAUGGCUUGACACCUAUUAUGUAAAUCUUAAGGUGUGAAGGUUGGAUGAUAAGGGAUAUGUUAGUAUCAAUGAUGGUGGAAAAUGAAAAUUUAUUAAGGGUUUUUUGAUUGUGGCUCGUGGUGACAAGCUGUAACACUCAAAAAUUUUGAACUAAAAAAAAGGGGACCGCUUUU